CCUGAGCCUAAGCUGGGACAUAUAGGAGUAAAGAAAAUGCCAGCAAACCCAUUGCCAUAUCCAUCUUCCUUGGAAUGUUGAUACCCCUCCACCUGCCUGUUCUUAUUUUCUUUUUAGACUUCCCUGAUGACUGCUGUAUGUAUUCUGCCUGGGGUCUUUAGCUGUGAUCACUGGAAGAGAUAGAGUGGUGUGUAUUUGCUCCAUCUUAACCAGCUCUGGAAACCUGUUUAACUGGCAAUUUAUUUCCAACGUUGAUAUAAAUACCACAAGUUGAGAUGAUUACAAUAUCUGAUUUUGCAAGAGCAUCUCAGCCAGGCCCAGGGAGUGGCUAGAAGUUUCUGGAUGGAAGCACGAGAAUUCAGAACUGACGUAUUCCAUCCGUGACGUUUUCUCAUAUGGGGAAACAGAGGCACAGAAAGGGGAGGCCGACCAACGGGAAGAACCACAGAAAGCACUUGCCCACUUUCCUGUUUACCUCACACCAGACGUGGGCGCCGGCACCCCGUGCUCUGGUCAGACGGGGACCAGUGAGCUGACGGAGGAACCACCUCCCCCCUCGGCUUCCCUGCGCCAGGCUGAGCCUCGCAAUGCUGCCCUGCCCCGAAAUUCGGAAGAACGGCAGGAACGAUGACAGGACAGCCAAAGCCGACACGGAGCCGAAGGGAGAGUCCUCGGAAG
Molecule: long non-coding RNA, 678 nt
Filed under: Microcebus murinus (gray mouse lemur)
Lineage: Eukaryota; Metazoa; Chordata; Mammalia; Primates; Cheirogaleidae
Description: lncRNA (ENSMICG00000048593.1)
Source: RNAcentral